AGGGGCAAGGAUCUUUGCUAUCGCCGUGAUUUGGUCAACUGCUGCCUUCUGCGCCGCUUCUUGUUGGGCGAGGCGUGCCAGGAUAGUUUCCAUAGACGCAGGAUGGGGAAGUGGAGUUGGGCGAGGCGUGCCAGGAUAGUUUCCAUAGACACUUGGCGGCUAGUGGCCCUACGGUGGGCGGCAACUGUUUGAUCGGAAAACGGUAAUAAAUAAGAUGUGGGUUUAAACAAAGACGUCAUAUUAAUGGUCGGAGAAAAACGUUCAGUCGGUUACAAAGGAAAAGAAGAGAGUGCGACAUAAAGGAAGUCGGUGGCUCGAUGAGAUACCGGAAAAGUACAACUAACGGCGAGAUGAAGCAAAGGUGAAAACCCU
This 372-nucleotide long non-coding RNA is filed under the name Brassica napus (rape). RNAcentral describes it as "long non-coding RNA (BNAP_LNC026584)". The record is from RNAcentral. Lineage: Eukaryota; Viridiplantae; Streptophyta; Magnoliopsida; Brassicales; Brassicaceae.